UCCUAUAUUAGAUUAUGGGUCAGACCUAAGACUAUCGGCGCUGGACUUAAGAUCCAGUUUCAUAGGAAUACGUGCGUUCGAAGCGCACUCUCGGAAC
This 97-nucleotide transfer RNA is filed under the name Candidatus Lokiarchaeum ossiferum. RNAcentral describes it as "tRNA-Ala". Lineage: Archaea; Promethearchaeati; Promethearchaeota; Promethearchaeia; Promethearchaeales; Promethearchaeaceae. The record is from RNAcentral.